This 22-nucleotide small RNA is filed under the name Arabidopsis thaliana (thale cress). RNAcentral describes it as "ATSL127360". The record is from RNAcentral. Lineage: Eukaryota; Viridiplantae; Streptophyta; Magnoliopsida; Brassicales; Brassicaceae.
AUCUCUCUCUCUCUCUUCUCUC